Ailuropoda melanoleuca (giant panda) is the source of this 757-nucleotide long non-coding RNA. RefSeq lists it as uncharacterized. The record is from RefSeq and is a predicted model, not a curated record. Lineage: Eukaryota; Metazoa; Chordata; Mammalia; Carnivora; Ursidae. The transcript has 4 exons.
GGGUGCGGAAGGGGCGCGGAUGCGGCUGGAGUUCGGGGAGCUCAGGCCUCGCGCGGGGACCCCCUCUAGCCCCGAUGUGGGGAGCAAAGGGAAGGCCCUCUCCCUCGCAGCUGCAGCCCCCGACCCGCCAGCUCCCGGGUGCGGCGGGACUCACGGCCUUCAGCUGCUCCAACCGGUCCUUCAUCCUGCUGCCCAGGCGCCCGGAGGCAGUGCUUGCUCCAUGCUGACGUCAUCGCUCCCAUAAAGAUAGGUCUGUAAGCGGUCGGGUGGAUGAACUCUAUGAUUCUCAGCCCGGAUCCUCCCUGUAAGCUACACUUCCUUCCACCCCGGGCGUUCCCUUGGUGGGUUCCCGACUUUGGGAAGAGUAGGCUUCUGCGCCCCCUGGUGUCAUAAGUGAAAAAGGCAAUUCCACCUGCUAGUUGUAUACAAGGAACUGGAAAAAGUCAAGUUAACUGGAAUACAGGACCUGGGCAAGGGGAGUCCAGGGGCUGGUGAAGAAGACUCUGAUAUUGAGCCCAAGGGGACUCUAGGGUCUCCAGUAGGCUCCAGGCCCAGUGUGGAGCCCAUUGCAGGCCUUGAACUCACAACCCUGAGACCGAGACCUGAGCUGAGAUCAAGCGGGAUGCUUAACCACUGACCCACCCAGGCACGUCUUACAAAGAAGUCUUAGACCAUGUUGUUCAGAUGUUUUCCUAGCAUGAACCUCCAGAUGCCAUACACCUGUGCCUUUGGCUUGACAAUUAAAUAACCUGAACCU